GAUGAAGAACGCAGCGAAAUGCGAUACGUAAUGUGAAUUGCAGAAUUCAGUGAAUCAUCGAAUCUUUGAACGCAUAUUGCGCUCUCUGGUAUUCCGGAGAGCAUGCUUGUUUGAGUAUCAGUAAACACCUCAACUCCCUUUUCUUUUUUGAAAUGGGAGCUGGACUUGAGUGAUCCCAACACUUUUCUCACUGGAAAGUGGCGGGUCACUUGAAAUGCAGGUGCAGCUGGACUUUUCUCUGAGCUAUAAGCAUAUCUAUUUAGUCUGCCUAAAAAACAGAUUAUUACCUUUGCUGCAGCUAACAUAAAGGAGAUGAGUUCUUGUGCUGACUGAUGCAGGAUUCACAGAGACAGCUUCGCGGCUGACUUUGUAAACUCGAUCUCAAAUCAAGUAAGACUACCCGCUGAACUUAAGCAUAUCAAUAAGCGGAGGA
RNAcentral lists this unclassified non-coding RNA (433 nucleotides) under soil metagenome. Its description in RNAcentral is "partial contains 5.8S ribosomal RNA, internal transcribed spacer 2, and large subunit ribosomal RNA". The stretch from base 1 to 120 matches the Rfam family "5.8S ribosomal RNA", at positions 35 to 154 of the family's 154-position model. The record is from RNAcentral.